GACAGAGGGUGCAAACGUUGCUCGGAAUCACUGGGCGUAAAGGGCGUGUAGGCGGGAAGGCAAGUCAGAUGUGAAAUCCCCAGGCUCAACCUGGGAACUGCAUUUGAAACUCCCUUUCUUGAGUACCGGAGAGGAAAGUGGAAUUCCUGGUGUAGAGGUGAAAUUCGUAGAUAUCAGGAGGAACACCAGUGGCGAAGGCGGCUUUCUGGACGGUAACUGACGCUGAGACGCGAAAGCGUGGGGAGCAAACAGG
Molecule: ribosomal RNA, 253 nt
Filed under: uncultured bacterium
Lineage: Bacteria
Description: partial 16S ribosomal RNA
Rfam family: Bacterial small subunit ribosomal RNA
Source: RNAcentral